GUGAGGAAUAUUGGUCAAUGGGCGGAAGCCUGAACCAGCCAAGUAGCGUGAAGGACGACUGCCCUAUGGGUUGUAAACUUCUUUUAUGCGGGGAUAAAGUUCGCCACGUGUGGCGUUUUGCAGGUACCGCAUGAAUAAGGACCGGCUAAUUCCGUGCCAGCAGCCGCGGUAAUACGGAAGGUCCAGGCGUUAUCCGGAUUCAUUGGGUUUAAAGGGAGCGUAGGCCGCCUUUUAAGCGUGUUGUGAAAUGUAGGGGCUCAACCCCUGCACUGCAGCGCGAACUGGAGGGCUUGAGUACACACAAAGUAGGCGGAAUUCAUGGUGUAGCGGUGAAAUGCUUAGAUAUCAUGAAGAACCCCGAUUGCGAAGGCAGCUUACUGGAGUGUAACUGACGCUGAAGCUCGAAAGCGCGGGUAUCGAACAGGAUUAGAAACCCUAGUAGUCC
Molecule: ribosomal RNA, 445 nt
Filed under: uncultured bacterium
Lineage: Bacteria
Description: bacterial SSU rRNA
Rfam family: Bacterial small subunit ribosomal RNA
Source: RNAcentral